AUAGCCACGUGGAGGUUUCAGGAUAGGCUGUACAGCCUUCAGCAGUUUGCCAUAGAGCACUCUAGUUCUGAGUCACCAUCAGACUAGAAGUUUUAUACAGAUCACUGGAUGUGAAUGGACAUAUAGAAAGCCCUCUGUGAUCAGUGGAGUACUAAAGAGUACUCUGAUAGAUGGUAGAGGGCGUGGCAGAAUUGAUCUAUCCAAC
Molecule: long non-coding RNA, 205 nt
Filed under: Elaeis guineensis (African oil palm)
Lineage: Eukaryota; Viridiplantae; Streptophyta; Magnoliopsida; Arecales; Arecaceae
Description: long non-coding RNA (EGUI_LNC001854)
Source: RNAcentral